RNAcentral lists this long non-coding RNA (2130 nucleotides) under Homo sapiens (human). Its description in RNAcentral is "HSALNT0097826". The record is from RNAcentral. Lineage: Eukaryota; Metazoa; Chordata; Mammalia; Primates; Hominidae.
GGAAAGAAGGAGGGAAGGAAGGAAAGGAAACAUGGAAGGAAGGAAGGAAAGAAGGAAGGAAGGAAAGGAAAGAUGGAAGAAAGGAAGGAAGGAUCAACCAUGAAGCCAAGUAACCAUGUGACCUGGGAUGCCAGCCUCUGGGAUUCCAGCCCGACCUCGGGGACUCAGAAGGAAAGAAGGGCUGGCGUCCGCCUACCAGCCAGAGGACACAGCAGUCCCGGGAGCAGUGCCUAGAAGAAGGCAGGGCACAGGCAGGCAGAGAGCAGAGGGUGGGUUCAGAUGGAGGCCGUGGAGAGGACACUGGACGCUGGCUGUAAAGACGUGUCAGCCCAUGCUCUGUGACCAGCCCCAUAGCAGGCAUCGGGGCCGUGGAGAUGUGGGGUCUAGUCCUAUCUGGAGAAACUCGCAUUUGGGGGAAGAGGAUGUGGAGACAAAUAAUCCAGAGGCAGCUUGGAACAUGCAUAUGCCUGUGCAAGGUUCCUGGGCCAGUCUCCCAAGACAGUGAGUAAUUAGCCGCGAAAGAGUCUUGGAUGUGAAGCCAAAAACAACAGCAGUGUCACAUCAGAUGCUGAGACAUCUCCAGCUAAGAGCUGAGCUCAGCCCCCACCCGCCCCCUCCACCCCCCAGCCGCAGCCACCAGCAGAAGGAAAACAGCCCCGUGCGGCUGAGUUCAACCAGGGCUGCCUUUCUCCACCGUGUCCGCCAUUCUGGUCUCGUGCCGCAGCAGGCAUUGCUAGAUGAUUGCCGUCAUGGCUCAUACUAACAAUAAAUAGGUCCUCCCGGGGACCCACCACCCAAACUCCUUGUGCCGGGAACAGCUACUAAAGGGGAGGCCCUUUCCAUAUUCCGCUUCAUUCUCCCCUCCUGGCGUGCCUCAAGGAACGACCACUGUCCCCAGGUUACAGCAACUUUUGUCCUGGGUGAAAGUUGUCUGCCCUCCUCACCGGCCUGCAGGCUCUUCUAGGGCAGGAUGGGGCUUGGUUCCUGUCUGCAUCUGGUGAAUCCCCUGACACACAUUAGGUAUCCUUACUCAAGGGAAGAGGGGCUUGCCUUUGGGACGGGGAUGAUGAAACUCAGCAGCCUUUGCAGGGUUUGUGAUUUAGCCUGUGUCAUUUUUGUGUGUCAGCGUAACUCUGGCUUGGCUUAGCUCUGUCAAACUCUGUGGGAUAAGAAGAGCAGAGCAUGAACCUGAAAACACACCCCAACCCCAAAUUAUUUCUGUUUCCAGGACACACACAGGACAGACUGGAAUAAAUACUGGUGGUUUAUCACAGGAAGGCUGGCCUCAGCUUGGGAGAGUAAGCGUGCAUGCAUACACAGCCAGCUGAUUUAUUGUGACCCGAGCCAAGCACUGAACAGAGCGAGGCCAUUUAUCUACUUGGUUGGAGGAGAGGUCAAGAGAGAGAAGUCAGAGAUUAAGCUAAAUAGUUCAGUGCCUUUGUUAACUCCCGGGGCGUCUCCUCUGCGCGGCUUGUGUUCCCAGGGAAUACUGUCAUGAGCUCCACAGGGAAGACUGGACUCCUUCUUGGGGAGACAGCCCUGGCCCCAGGGAGCAGCGUGGCCAAGGACAUUCUCAGCCUCUUGGGGUUGCCAAAAGGGAGCAGAAGCAGGAGGAGGGAGGGGGGGAGCUGGGAGGAACACCCCAUCGUGGAAGACCUGCUGCCAAUGCGGGGCUGCAGUCCCAGUCUCUGCCGCCACCAGACCCUGGUCAGGAGACAUCACAGACAGGCUCCCUUCUCCCGCCUUCAUUCAGGGCUCUGCUCAAACAGCCCAUUUGCAAUAGGACUUCCUGCAGUGUCCUAGUUAAAUACCCCAACCCAUGCCCCCAUCGUACGCUAUCCCUUCCCCUGCUUUAUGUUUCUUCAUGGUGCUCAGCACCCUGACAUAUCUAUGUCUGUAUUUGUUUACUUAUUGUUGGGUCUGUUUUUGAAUGAAGUGCUAUGUCUGUGGUGUAAAGUCCAACAUGUGGCAGAUUCUAGGUGCUCAAUAAAUAUCUAUUCAGUGAAUGACGAAUUGUUGCUAAUAGUUUACAACUGCUGAAUAUGUGCCUAGAUAAGCUUUGUAGAUCUCACUGUAUAUAACACCUCAACAGUACCAUGCUGUACAUACUGUCCUUAGGCUCAGAGAGGC